GUUAUACAGAGGUGCAAGCNUUANUCGGANUUNCUUGGGGUAAAGCGCGCGUAGGUNGCCAAUUNAGUCAAAUGUGAANUCCCCGAGCUUAACUUGGGAAUUGCAUUCGAUACUGGUNGCUAGAGUAUGGGAGAGGAUGGUAGAAUUUCCAGGUGUAGCGGUGAAAUGCGUAGAGAUCUGGAGGAAUACCGAUGGCGAAGGCAGCCAUCUGGCUUAAUACUGACACUGAGGUGCGAAAGCAUGGGGAGCAAACAGGAUUAGAUACCCCGGUAGUCCUGGCCGUAAACGAUGGAUACUAGGUGUGGGAGGUAUCGACCCCUUCCGUGCCGGAGUUAACGCAAUAAGUAUCCCGCCUGGGGAGUACGGUCGCAAGACUGAAACUCAAAGGAAUUGACGGGGGCCCGCACAAGCGGUGGAGUAUGUGGUUUAAUUCG
RNAcentral lists this ribosomal RNA (434 nucleotides) under uncultured bacterium. RNAcentral's name for it is "bacterial SSU rRNA". It matches the Rfam family "Bacterial small subunit ribosomal RNA", at positions 520 to 953 of the family's 1533-position model. The record is from RNAcentral.